Molecule: unclassified non-coding RNA, 263 nt
Filed under: plant metagenome
Description: partial contains small subunit ribosomal RNA, internal transcribed spacer 1, and 5.8S ribosomal RNA
Source: RNAcentral
UUUCCGUAGGUGAACCUGCGGAAGGAUCAUUAUUGUAUAACCGAGGUGCGAGGGCUGUCGCUGACCCGAAAGGUCGUGCACGCCCGAGUGCCCUCACACACAUCCACCUCACCCCUAUGUGCACCACCGCGUGGGUCCCCCUUUGGCUUGUUCGGAGGGGGGCUUACGUUUUCACACAAACUUUGUAUGCAGUGUAGAAUGUAUUUUUUGUUUUUGCGAUCACGCAAUCAAUACAACUUUCAACAACGGAUCUCUUGGCUCUU